GAUGAACGCUGGCGGCGUGCCUAAUACAUGCAAGUCGAGCGAACAGAUGAUGAGCUUGCUCCUCUGACGUUAGCGGCGGACGUGUGUGUAACACGUGGAUACCCUACCUAUAAUACUGGUAUCACUUCGGGACUCCGGAGCUAAUACCGGAUAAUAUAUUGAUCCGCAUUGUUCAAUAGUGAAAGACGGUUUUGCUGUCUCUUAUAGAUGGAUCUGCGCCUCAUUAGCUAGUUGUUAAGGUAACGGCUUUUCAAGGCAACGAUGCGUAGACGAAGUGAGAGGGGGAUCGGCGACACGGGAACUGAGACACGGUCAAGACGACUAAGGGAGGGAGCAGAAGGGAAUCUUCCGCAGUGGGCGAAAGCAUGACGGAGCAAGGCGGAGUGAGUGAUGAAGGUCUUCGGAUCGUAAAAAUCUGUUAUGAGGGAAGAACAAAUGUGUAAGGAACUAUGCACGGAUUGACGGUACCUAAUAAGAAAGCCACGGCUAACUACGUG
This 497-nucleotide ribosomal RNA is filed under the name uncultured bacterium. RNAcentral describes it as "partial 16S ribosomal RNA". It matches the Rfam family "Bacterial small subunit ribosomal RNA", at positions 28 to 507 of the family's 1533-position model. The record is from RNAcentral.